ACCCAGACUCCUACGGGAGGCAGCAGUGGGGAAUAUUGCACAAUGGGGGGAACCCUGAUGCAGCGACGCCGCGUGAGUGAAGAAGUAUUUCGGUAUGUAAAGCUCUAUCAGCAGGGAAGAAAAUGACGGUACCUGACUAAGAAGCCCCGGCUAACUACGUGCCAGCAGCCGCGGUAAUACGUAGGGGGCAAGCGUUAUCCGGAUUUACUGGGUGUAAAGGGGGCGCAGACGGCGAUGCAAGCCAGGAGUGAAAGCCCGGGGCCCAACCCCGGGACUGCUCUUGGAACUGCGUGGCUGGAGUGCAGGAGGGGCAGGCGGAAUUCCUGGUGUAGCGGUGAAAUGCGUAGAUAUCAGGAGGAACACCGGUGGCGAAGGCGGCCUGCUGGACUGCAACUGACGUUGAGGCCCGAAAGCGUGGGGAGCAAACAGGAUUAGAUACCCUCGUAAGC
RNAcentral lists this ribosomal RNA (449 nucleotides) under uncultured bacterium. RNAcentral's name for it is "bacterial SSU rRNA". It matches the Rfam family "Bacterial small subunit ribosomal RNA", at positions 329 to 794 of the family's 1533-position model. The record is from RNAcentral.